GUAGGUGGCAAGCGUUGUCCGGAAUUAUUGGGCGUAAAGCGCGCGCAGGCGGUUCUUUAAGUCUGAUGUCGAAAGCCCACGGCUCAACCGUGGAGGGUCAUUGGAAACUGGAGAACUUGAGUACAGAAGAGGAAACGCGGAAUUCCACGUGUAGCGGUGAAAUGCGUAGAGAUGUGGAGGAACACCAGUGGCGAAGGCGGCUUUCUGGUCUGUAACUGACGCUGAGGCGCGAAAGCGUGGGGAGCAAACAGGAUUAGAUACCCUGGUAGUCCACGCCGUAAACGAUGAGUGCUAAGUGUUAGGGGGUUUCCGCCCCCUUAGUGCUGCAGCUAACGCAUUAAGCACUCCGCCUGGGAGUACGGCCGCAAGGCUG
RNAcentral lists this ribosomal RNA (373 nucleotides) under uncultured organism. RNAcentral describes it as "partial 16S ribosomal RNA". It matches the Rfam family "Bacterial small subunit ribosomal RNA", at positions 527 to 896 of the family's 1533-position model. The record is from RNAcentral.